GACGAACGCUGGCGGCGUGCUUAACACAUGCAAGUCGAACGGAAAGGCCCUGCUCUUGUGGGUUGCUCGAUUGGCGAACGGGUGAGUAACACGUGAGUAACCUGCCCUUGACUUUGGGAUAACUCCAGGAAACUGGGGCUAAUACCGGAUAGGAGCUCCUGCUGCAUGGUGGGGGUUGGAAAGUUUCGGCGGUUGGGGAUGGACUCGCGGCUUAUCAGCUUGUUUGUGGGGUAGUGGCUUACCAAGGCUUUGACGGGUAGCCGGCCUGAGAGGGUGACCGGCCACCUUGCGCCUGAGAUACGGCGCAGACGGCUACGGGCGGCAGCAGUCGAGAAUAUUGCACAACGGGCGGAAGUGUGAUGCAGCAACGCCGCGUGCGGGAUGCCGGCUUUCUGGUUGUAAACAGAUUUCGAAUGUGACGAAGCGUGAGUGACGGUAAUGGGUAAAGAAGCACCGGCUAACUACGUG
Molecule: ribosomal RNA, 468 nt
Filed under: uncultured bacterium
Lineage: Bacteria
Description: partial 16S ribosomal RNA
Rfam family: Bacterial small subunit ribosomal RNA
Source: RNAcentral